AGUGAACGCUGGCGGUAGGCCUAACACAUGCCAGUCGAACGGCAGCACAGUAAGAGCUUGCUCUUACGGGUGGCGAGUGGCGGACGGGUGAGGAAUACAUCGGAAUCUACUUUUUCGUGGGGGAUAACGUAGGGAAACUUACGCUAAUACCGCAUACGACCUACGGGUGAAAGCAGGGGAUCUUCUGACCUUGCGCGAUUGAAUGAGCCGAUGUCGGAUUAACUAGUUGGCGGGGUAAAGGCCCACCAAGGCGACGAUCCGUAGCUGGUCUGAGAGGAUGAUCAGCCACACUGGAACUGAGACACGGUCCAGACUCCUACGGGAGGCAGCAGUGGGGAAUAUUGGACAAUGGGCGCAAGCCUGAUCCAGCCAUACCGCGUGGGUGAAGAAGGCCUUCGGGUUGUAAAGCCCUUUUGUUGGGAAAGAAAAGCAGCAGGUUAAUACCCCGCUGUUCUGACGGUACCCAAAGAAUAAGCACCGGCUAACUUCGUG
This 492-nucleotide ribosomal RNA is filed under the name uncultured bacterium. RNAcentral describes it as "partial 16S ribosomal RNA". It matches the Rfam family "Bacterial small subunit ribosomal RNA", at positions 29 to 507 of the family's 1533-position model. The record is from RNAcentral.